GCGUGGAUGGUGUAGCGGUAACAUUGGGUCUUCCCACUUUUCAGUGUGGCCUAGCUCCGGGUUCGACUCCCGGUUCACGCA
RNAcentral lists this transfer RNA (81 nucleotides) under Pleurotus ostreatus (oyster mushroom). Its description in RNAcentral is "tRNA-Gly". It matches the Rfam family "tRNA". Rfam says of the family: Transfer RNA (tRNA) molecules are approximately 80 nucleotides in length. Their secondary structure includes four short double-helical elements and three loops (D, anti-codon, and T loops). Lineage: Eukaryota; Fungi; Basidiomycota; Agaricomycetes; Agaricales; Pleurotaceae. RNAcentral also lists the same sequence under 1 other name. The record is from RNAcentral.